Molecule: ribosomal RNA, 205 nt
Filed under: uncultured bacterium
Lineage: Bacteria
Description: partial 16S ribosomal RNA
Rfam family: Bacterial small subunit ribosomal RNA
Source: RNAcentral
GAUUGCAGGCUGCAACCCGCCUGCAUGAAGUCGGAAUUGCUAGUAAUCGCGGAUCAGCAUGCCGCGGUGAAUACGUUCCCGGGCCUUGUACACACCGCCCGUCACACCAUGGGAGCCGGUAAUACCCGAAGUCAGUAGUCCAACCUCGUGAGGGACGCUGCCGAAGGUAGGAUUGGCGACUGGGGUGAAGUCGUAACAAGGUAAC